This 505-nucleotide ribosomal RNA is filed under the name uncultured bacterium. RNAcentral's name for it is "partial 16S ribosomal RNA". It matches the Rfam family "Bacterial small subunit ribosomal RNA", at positions 28 to 507 of the family's 1533-position model. The record is from RNAcentral.
GACGAACGCUGGCGGCGUGCCUAAUACAUGCAAGUAGAACGCACAGUUUAUACCGUAGCUUGCUACGCCAUAGACUGUGAGUUGCGAACGGGUGAGUAACGCGUAGGUAACCUGCCUGGUAGCGGGGGAUAACUAUUGGAAACGAUAGCUAAUACCGCAUAAUAUUAAUUAUUGCAUGAUAAUUAAUUGAAAGGUGCAAUUGCACCACUACCAGAUGGACCUGCGUUGUAUUAGCUAGUAGGUGAGGUAACGGCUCACCUAGGCGACGAUACAUAGCCGACCUGAGAGGGUGAUCGGCCACACUGGGACUGAGACACGGCCCAGACUCCUACGGGAGGCAGCAGUAGGGAAUCUUCGGCAAUGGACGAAAGUCUGACCGAGCAACGCCGCGUGAGUGAAGAAGGUUUUCGGAUCGUAAAGCUCUGUUGUAAGGGAAGAACGGGUGUGAGAGUGGAAAGUUCACACUGUGACGGUAUCUUACCAGAAAGGGACGGCUAACUACGUG